ACGGGAGGCAGCAGUCGGGAAUAUUGCGCAAUGGAGGAAACUCUGACGCAGUGACGCCGCGUGCAGGAAGAAGGUUUUCGGAUUGUAAACUGCUUUAGACAGGGAAGAACAAGGACAGUACCUGUAGAAUAAGCUCCGGCUAACUACGUGCCAGCAGCCGCGGUAAUACGUAGGGAGCGAGCGUUAUCCGGAUUUAUUGGGUGUAAAGGGUGCGUAGACGGGAAUGCAAGUUGUUUGUGAAAUCCCUCGGCUUAACUGAGGAACUGCAAGCAAAACUACAUUUCUUGAGUGCUGGAGAGGAAAGUGGAAUUCCUAGUGUAGCGGUGAAAUGCGUAGAUAUUAGGAGGAACACCAGUGGCGAAGGCGACUUUCUGGACAGUAACUGACGUUGAGGCACGAAAGUGUGGGGAGCAAACAGGAUUAGAUACCCUGGUA
The sequence is a ribosomal RNA, 435 nucleotides long. It matches the Rfam family "Bacterial small subunit ribosomal RNA", at positions 341 to 792 of the family's 1533-position model.